UGGAUUGAUGGUGACUGCUGGUCGCGUGUGAGUCGUAUACGAUAAAUAUGUGUCUCGAGCUUGGAGAUCCAU
Small nucleolar RNA from Camelus dromedarius (Arabian camel), 72 nucleotides. The record is from Ensembl. NCBI's taxonomy places the organism in Eukaryota, Metazoa, Chordata, Mammalia, Artiodactyla, Camelidae.